CUUGAUGGCGCCGAGCCACAGCGGCCGCUCCGCGUCCCGGUCCCGGCCGUAGGUGGCCAGCAGCGCCUGCGCCUC
Streptomyces autolyticus is the source of this 75-nucleotide non-coding RNA. NCBI's taxonomy places the organism in Bacteria, Bacillati, Actinomycetota, Actinomycetes, Kitasatosporales, Streptomycetaceae. The record is from Rfam.